Molecule: transfer-messenger RNA, 349 nt
Filed under: Thermus oshimai
Lineage: Bacteria; Thermotogati; Deinococcota; Deinococci; Thermales; Thermaceae
Also listed under: 1 other name
Description: Standard tmRNA
Rfam family: transfer-messenger RNA
About the family: Bacterial tmRNA, also known as 10Sa RNA or SsrA, is named for its dual tRNA and mRNA-like properties. Its role is to liberate the mRNA from a stalled ribosome. To accomplish this part of the tmRNA is used as a reading frame that ends in a translation stop signal.
Source: RNAcentral
GGGGGUGAACGGUCUCGACGGGGGUCGCCGAGGGCGAGCCUGCGCGCCGAGGUGCGGGUGGCCUCGUUAAAACCCGCAAACCCACAAAGGCCAACAAGCCUGCUUACGCGCUCGCGGCCUAAUCGCCGCGCCCUCGCCUGGAAGCCCCGCCGGUGGCUCGCCAGUGCGGGGACACAAAACCGGCUAGCCUGGGGCCACGCCCUCUAACCCUGGGCGAAACCCAAGGGGGCUUGCCCCUGGCCGCCCGUCCGCGGGCCAAGCCAGGGGGACACCUGAAACGCGGACUACGCGCGUAGACGGCCGCUGUAGGGACCUUCGGACGGGGGUUCAACUCCCCCCACCUCCACCA